Cyprinus carpio (common carp) is the source of this 306-nucleotide long non-coding RNA. RefSeq lists it as uncharacterized. NCBI's taxonomy places the organism in Eukaryota, Metazoa, Chordata, Actinopteri, Cypriniformes, Cyprinidae. The transcript has 2 exons. The record is from RefSeq and is a predicted model, not a curated record.
CUGGAUCUCUGACCAUCACAAACACCAGAAAACCACAGACUCUGGAGAUUAUAAACUAGAGAAAAACCGUAGCAGAAUCAGUAUUAUAAAGAUAUUCAGUCUUAUUGUCACUGCUGUUCCAGAUUCAGUUGCUGCUGUUGUUGUUGUUGUUGUUGUUGUCGUCUGCUGGUGGCUAUAGCUGCUGUCAUUUACUAUCGCCACAGGAAAUCUACACAAGAAAGACAAAAUGGCAAGCAUUACAUACAGCUGAUUUCACAAGAUGGAAAAUAAGAUCUAUUGUUAUCUUUAAAAAUGUAUUCUCAUUAA